RNAcentral lists this long non-coding RNA (1058 nucleotides) under Pan troglodytes (chimpanzee). RNAcentral describes it as "lincRNA". The record is from RNAcentral. Lineage: Eukaryota; Metazoa; Chordata; Mammalia; Primates; Hominidae.
CCCGCCGCCAUCCGUCCUGGCGCUCCGGAUGAGUCAAUGAGGGGCAGGGCCCGAGGAGUGGUCUUCCCAAGAACCCCUGGUGGCCUCCCAAGGCCGGUGCUGUGUACCUCCUCCCCGACAAAAGGGGAAACUGAGGCCCCGAGGGGAGUGGGAAGAGCCGGCUGGACGUCAGGCCCAGCCGCUGGUGCAGUGGUCCGUCCCCUCCGCCGGGGUGGGCCCCUCGGGUUUCGCGUGUCCUCGGGAAAGAGACUGGCGGGCCUCGUGGGCUGUGCGGCUAUCCUGGAGACAGAUGACAGCUCUCCCUUGGAUGGCUUUGCUGGUUCCGCACCAGCCAGCGCCCCUAUUUUUCCUGCAGCACCCUGAUCUGCACUCCCUGAGGGGCUCCCACUGUCCGCGGUGUGAGGAUGUCCCUGGAUAGUCCACUGUGUGCAGAGGCAUGGGAGUUGUCAUGUCGAGAACAUGCUAGACCUCAGUGUCCUUGAGCUUGAAGAAAGACGACAGAACACUGGAGACCAAGUACUUGCAGCCUUCUGCUCUGUGGCCCCUCCUCACUCCAGGGAUGCCGCCUUGGGUCUGGAAAUUGUUAGAGGAAACCCCAAGAGGUGCAGGCACUGAGCCUCUCAGGACAAUGACCUGGGGUCCCAGCUCCCCUGGAGGGGCCUCCUCAUGAUUGUUUGGGGCUUGAUCACAGACCAAGAGUGACGAGUGAUGUCACCCUGUGACUCAUGGCCGGACCUUCUUGCCCCUAUUGUCUCAGCACAACAUUAUUUGACUUUUCCCUCAGCGUGGGUGGGCAGAGGAAAAGCCCUGUGGCUCUGGGGACUUGGGAUCCGGAGUUGAAGACCCUUCAGCUGGCUCUGCCCUGCCAGUGCCACAGAGUGCCAUGGCCCAGGAAGACAGGUUUUCUUCCAUCUAGGCCAGGCCAUCCAGUGGCCAUCCUCCGUGUCCUCCCGCCUCCUCCUGGUGUGACUUCUGAAAACCAAGAAUUUGUUCCUGUUGACUUUUUCUGUGCUAUGGACCAUUGUCCUCUCACCCACUCAAUAAAUCUUGAAACAUGC